This 132-nucleotide small nucleolar RNA is filed under the name Microcebus murinus (gray mouse lemur). The record is from RNAcentral. Lineage: Eukaryota; Metazoa; Chordata; Mammalia; Primates; Cheirogaleidae.
GUUGAGGUCUAUCCCGGUUGGGCUUUUUCUGUAGCCAUACACCGUUGGAAACCCCUCAUAGAGUGACACUGUGGUUUUGCUUUCCUCACAGGACUAUUUGUUAGAUCUGUGAGAAGAAACUACCAGACAGUU